AGAGCCCUGCAAUGUACGUGAAUGCCCGAUUGUUUUGUACCAACAGAGUUAUUACGGGAGAUCGGAGUUCCGGUAAGGCACAGAUGCCGCCACCAAGUAGCGGACCUGCAAGCUACCGGGUAGAUUGCCCACCUGCGCGAGCAGGUUCAAAACACCGGCGCACGGCAUUUUGGGGCUCUU
This 180-nucleotide non-coding RNA is filed under the name Aneurinibacillus soli. RNAcentral's name for it is "6S / SsrS RNA". It matches the Rfam family "6S / SsrS RNA". Rfam says of the family: E. coli 6S RNA was the first non coding RNA to be sequenced, but its function was unknown until recently. It consists of 184 nucleotides that fold into an extended hairpin structure with a large single-stranded internal bulge. The 6S RNA specifically associates with RNA polymerase holoenzyme containing the sigma70 specificity factor. Lineage: Bacteria; Bacillati; Bacillota; Bacilli; Caryophanales; Paenibacillaceae. The record is from Rfam by way of RNAcentral.